AUUGUGUUGCCCCAUACAUGUAUUCGGGGCGGAGCUUGGCCUCCCGUGAGCCCAAACUCGCGGAUGGCUUAAAAACGAACCUCGAGACGGUUAGACGUCGCGACAAGUGGUGGUUACGAGGCCUUGUGCCUUUGAGCUUUGCGUGUCGCUGCCGUCGUCUGUCUCUCUCGAAAUUAAAACCCGAACGGAGCAUCCCCGAUGUUUCCAGCAUUGCGACCCCAGGUCAGGCGGGAAUACCCGCUGAGUUUAAGCAUAUCAAUAA
This 262-nucleotide unclassified non-coding RNA is filed under the name Rhodiola chrysanthemifolia. Its description in RNAcentral is "partial internal trancribed spacer 2". Lineage: Eukaryota; Viridiplantae; Streptophyta; Magnoliopsida; Saxifragales; Crassulaceae. The record is from RNAcentral.